GAUGAAGAACGUAGUGAAAUGCGAUAAGUAAUGUGAAUUGCAGAAUUCAGUGAAUCAUCGAAUCUUUGAACGCACAUUGCGCCCGCCAGUAUUCUGGCGGGCAUGCCUGUUCGAGCGUCAUUACAACCCUCAGGCCCCCGGGCCUGGCGUUGGGGAUCGGCGGAAGCCCCCUGCGGGCACAACGCCGUCCCCCAAAUACAGUGGCGGUCCCGCCGCAGCUUCCAUUGCGUAGUAGCUAACACCUCGCAACUGGAGAGCGGCGCGGCCACGCCGUAAAACACCCAACUUCUGAAUGUUGACCUCGAAUCAGGUAGGAAUACCCGCUGAACUUAAGCAUAUCAAUAAGCGGAGGA
This 353-nucleotide unclassified non-coding RNA is filed under the name soil metagenome. RNAcentral describes it as "partial contains 5.8S ribosomal RNA, internal transcribed spacer 2, and large subunit ribosomal RNA". The stretch from base 1 to 120 matches the Rfam family "5.8S ribosomal RNA", at positions 35 to 154 of the family's 154-position model. The record is from RNAcentral.